AUCAAUCAUACUACUAUGGCCACAGACUCUCGAACUUAACCUCUCAAAUUUCAUAGGAUUACUCAUUUCUACCAAAGUCGAUAGAUCCCAUCUUGAUGCAUACCCUACUCUUAUAGUGGACCAACUGUCAUCAACAUCCACUAUAAGUGCUCAUUGAAACUCAUGUUUAUGUGUUAGUCAAACUCCAGCAGUCUCAUUGUGAGCAGUCGUACCA
Molecule: long non-coding RNA, 214 nt
Filed under: Elaeis guineensis (African oil palm)
Lineage: Eukaryota; Viridiplantae; Streptophyta; Magnoliopsida; Arecales; Arecaceae
Description: long non-coding RNA (EGUI_LNC041039)
Source: RNAcentral